Molecule: unclassified non-coding RNA, 217 nt
Filed under: uncultured fungus
Lineage: Eukaryota; Fungi
Description: sequence contains ITS1
Source: RNAcentral
UUAAUUCAUUCGUUUAAAGAAUUGGUCAGACAGGUUCAAAAACAGUUUUGGUUGGUGCCGUCCGCGGGAUUACCCAGCCCAGGAACAGGCAGGAACCGCGGAAGCGAAGGUGUGUUUUGGUUCACAAGAGGUUGGCACUCCGGCCGGGCUCUCGCCCAGCGCAAAGCUAUGUCAAGGACAUUUGUUAAUGAUCCUUCCGCAGGUUCACCUACGGAAA